Long non-coding RNA from Dermochelys coriacea (leatherback sea turtle), 2072 nucleotides. RefSeq lists it as uncharacterized. The record is from RefSeq and is a predicted model, not a curated record. The transcript is spliced from 4 exons. NCBI's taxonomy places the organism in Eukaryota, Metazoa, Chordata, Testudines, Dermochelyidae.
AGUCAUGAAGAGUGUAGCAGAAAGAAGCUGUAGGAAGGGAGUCUGCAAUCAUUAUCUGGGGUAGAGAAGAAGUAGGAAGUAGUGCAGGGAGAGACCAAGGAGUCUGAGGCAUUAGACUUUGGCUGCUGGCUCCAGGGUCCCUAGGCUGGAACCUAGAGUAGAAUGAGGACCUAGGUUACCCUACCAGCCACUGAAGAAGGUGGGGGUAAAACCCCCUGAGGUAAGGGGUUUAAGGACCACAGAGCCUAAAAAGCAACAGAAGACCUGCUGUAAGGUCAUUGGACUAUAGCUUGGUUGGACUCUGUUAACCUGGAAGGGGUGGACUAAAGCGUGACCUGGCCAGGAAAGCCAAGUUGCUGGAAGAGAGAUCACUGUAGUGACAGAGUGACCAUCAGCUGGGGGAACCAUACAGGGAAACAGCCACUAUGCCAGGAGUGGGCAAACUUUUUGGCCCGAGGGCCACAUUGGCAUUGUGAAACUGUAUGGAGGGACAGGUAGAGAAGGCUGUGCCUCCCCAAACAGCCUGGUCCCCACCUCCUAUCUGCCCCCCCCACUAACCUCCCUCAAAAUCCCCAUCCAACCCCACCUGCUUCUUGUCCCCUGACCACAUCCUUCUGGGACCCCCUGGCCCUAACCGCCCCCUAGAACUCCACCUCCAUCCAACCCCCUGUCCCCUGAGUGCCCCAACCCCUAUCCACACCCCCACCCCCUGACAGGCCACCAGGGACUCCCAUACCUAUCCAACCACUCUCUGUCCCCUAACUGCCCUCCCAGGACCCUCUGCCCCUUAUUCAACCCCCCUUCCCCAUAUCAUGCAGUUCAGAGCAGUAGCAGCUUGCAGCCUGGCUGGAGCGCAUGGCGGUGUUGUUGUGGGGGAGAGGGGACAGCAGGGGAGGGCCCAGGGGAUAGCCUCCCUGACCAGGAGCUCAAAGGCCAGGCAGGACGGUCCCGCGGGCCGUAGUUUGCCCACCUCUGCACUAUGCCAUGCCUGGCUACAAGAAGAUGCACCUAUGAGCAUGGUAGAAAAUGCGAGUCUGUAAAUCUAGUAUUAAAUCUUUUAAAACCUUAGACUUUGGACAAGGUGAUCUACUAGGAGGUCAGCAAAGAACCUAUCAGAUUGCUGCACAGUGGCUGCACAAAUGCCACAACCCAUAGCAGCUAAUAGAACCUGGGGCCCCUGCAUGCCCCUGUGCCAGGAGUUUAGGCCUGUGGAUCCAAAAAAGUAUUGAAUUUUCUAGUCCUUCACAGAGCUCUCGCACGCUUCUAAGGAAACGGGCCCCAUGCAGCACAGCACAGCUCAACAAUACACUGCCGGUGUGGAGUAUCAACUUCAUAGACUGCUUCCAAAGCAGUGGAUCCCAUAGCAACUCCAUUGCAUCAAGCGCCUUCCAUGCCUGUGGGGUGCAGAAAGCAGCAUUUGUCCCCAAAUACUGAAAAUUUUGAAUAAUUCCUCUGCAAUUGGUUCUGAUGCAAGAUGAUUCACUGAGAUGAAAGUGCACAAUCUCCCAAUAGUGUGCAAUCACUUCAUCAUCAAAAUAAUUUACUGCAUUGAUAUAAAUGAGGAUGCCAAUGUAUUUUGAAGAUCUCAAUGGAGGAUGUCAGUGUAUUUUGCUGAAAAAUUAGAGGAGCACUUCCAGUCUUCGGAUCAUAUUUUAACAUCAUUUUAACAACUAGAAUCUUAAAAAGGUUAUGUUGCCUUCUCAAGGAUUAUUUUGGGAUGAUGGCUGAUGGAGAUUUGGUCAGCUGUUUAACAGUCUUCCUUUCUCUCUCCUCAAGGAAGAGAGUCUUGCAUUAUAGGAUGAAUGCUUCCACCUGAGCUCAAGAAUCUUUUAGCAAUGUCCACAGCUUAAGGUCCUAGCUAGAAGAAGUGGCAAAGAAAUAAAAUUAUUUAUAUUUUAACCAUGUAUGUAAUAGUAGGACAGCCAACUGUUUCUGAUAAUGCAUAACAAAUGCAAUGAUAGCAAUAGAUAAAAUAAUAAUUUCUAAAUAUAUAGAGAUUUUAAUGAACAGGUUAUAAAAUACACUAGUACUGAAUAUUGUAUUGUAUUUGUGUAACUCAGCUAAUGCAGAUA